Molecule: ribosomal RNA, 471 nt
Filed under: uncultured bacterium
Lineage: Bacteria
Description: bacterial SSU rRNA
Rfam family: Bacterial small subunit ribosomal RNA
Source: RNAcentral
UUGCCUACGGGAGGCUGCAGUGGGGAAUAUUGGACAAUGGGCGCAAGCCUGAUCCAGCCAUGCCGCGUGUGUGAAGAAGGCCUUUUGGUUGUAAAGCACUUUAAGCGAGGAGGAGGCUACUUGGAUUAAUACUCUAGGAUAGUGGACGUUACUCGCAGAAUAAGCACCGGCUAACUCUGUGCCAGCAGCCGCGGUAAUACAGAGGGUGCGAGCGUUAAUCGGAUUUACUGGGCGUAAAGCGUGCGUAGGCGGCUGCUUAAGUCGGAUGUGAAAUCCCUGAGCUUAACUUAGGAAUUGCAUUCGAUACUGGGAAGCUAGAGUAUGGGAGAGGAUGGUAGAAUUCCAGGUGUAGCGGUGAAAUGCGUAGAGAUCUGGAGGAAUACCGAUGGCGAAGGCAGCCAUCUGGCCUAAUACUGACGCUGAGGUACGAAAGCAUGGGGAGCAAACAGGAUUAGAUACCCUGGUAGUCGU